GCCCUGGAAAGCCACCUUGCUCCUUCUACCACAUGAGGACACAGCGAGAAGGGGCGGCUCUGAACCAGGAAGCUCACCAGACACCUUGAUCUUGGACUUCUCAGCCUCCAGAACUUUAUGAUAUUAAGAAGUGGGACCUCUGGAAGGUGAUUAGGUUAUGAAGGCAGAGCCAUCAUGAAUGGGAUUAGUGCUUUUAUAGAAGAAGCCCCAGAGAGCUGCCUCACCCCUUCCACCAUGUAAAAACAGCCAGAAGGUGUCAUCUAUGAACAAGGCUACGUGCUCUCAUCAGACAUCAAAUCUUCUGGCACCUGGAUUUUUCACUUCCCAGCCUCUAGAACUAUAAUAAAUUUUUGUUGCUUAUAAGCCCCCUGUUUGUGCUAUUUUGUUAUAGUACCCUUAAUAGACUAAGAUACCUUUCUAGACAGAGAGGAGAUCGAUGGCAGACAUUCUCAGAUAGGUUUGUAGCUAUUGACCUGGCUCCAUCCAAAGGAGAUGAAAUCCUUUGGAACUGACAGCUUCUAUGAAACUUACCAUCAAAAAGGCAUAAGAACAACUGCUGUAGCUUCAGAGAUAUGCAGAAAAUAAAAUGUCAACAGCUGGGAAAAAAAAUUCUAAGUGAGCAAUGGAGCCAAUGAAAAAUGUCACCAGUAGAGCAGGCACCUGAGACAGGGCAAUGUCACCCGCUAAGUGCAGGUCUACAGGGGGAGACCUUGCAGACCAUUUAUGGAUCCCAAGUUAUCAAAACCCUUAUUUGAUUAUAAACUUCACAGUAGAUGUCAAUAUAUCAGGGUAUCGUCUCCAUGUUAAUGUCAGCAUGUGCUGAUUGUAUUGUGGUCAUGUCGAAGAAUGCCCUGUUCGUAAGUGAUGUGUGGGAAAAUAUUUGGGGGUGAAGUGUCAUGAUGCUUCCUACUUAUUUUCACAUGCUUUGGCAAAAAUAAAACAUCUAUCUCUCUCUCUCCAGG
This is a non-coding RNA of Callithrix jacchus (white-tufted-ear marmoset), 962 nucleotides long. Lineage: Eukaryota; Metazoa; Chordata; Mammalia; Primates; Cebidae. The record is from RefSeq and is a predicted model, not a curated record.